Molecule: unclassified non-coding RNA, 1104 nt
Filed under: Hevea brasiliensis (rubber tree)
Lineage: Eukaryota; Viridiplantae; Streptophyta; Magnoliopsida; Malpighiales; Euphorbiaceae
Source: RNAcentral
UUUCUGUUCCUUGUUGGCCUUGAGUUAGAUCUGAAGUCCCUCCAACGGACGGGGAAAAAGGCUUUAGGCAUAGCUGUUGCAGGAAUUAGCUUACCCUUUCUGUUGGGAAUUGGAGUAUCAUUUUUACUCCGUAAAACUAUCUCUGAAGGUGUUAAAGCAGCUCCAUUCCUUGUAUUCAUGGGAGUGGCCCUUUCAAUCACUGCUUUCCCUGUCUUGGCUCGUAUUUUGGCAGAACUCAAGCUUUUAACCACUGAUGUUGGUCGAAUGGCAAUGACAGCAGCAGCCGUAAAUGAUAUUGCAGCAUGGAUUUUACUUGCUCUUGCCAUUGCCCUCUCUGGAUCUGAGCAUUCACCCCUCACAUCUUUAUGGGUGCUUUUGUCUGGGGUUGGAUUUAUUAUCUGUUGCAUAGCGGUUAUCCCCGCUGUCUUUAAAUGGAUGGCGCAUCGUUGUCCUCAGGGUGAGCCAGUAAAUGAAAUUUAUGUCUGUGCUACAUUAGCUAUUGUUUUGGCAGCAGGGUUCUGCACUGAUUCUAUUGGAAUUCAUGCCCUCUUUGGUGCAUUUGUAAUUGGAGUUCUUAUCCCAAAAGAGGGACCAUUUGCUGGUGCUCUUGUUGAAAAAGUUGAAGAUCUUGUAUCCGGUCUCUUCCUCCCGUUGUACUUCGUCUCUAGCGGAUUGAAGACCAAUGUAGCUGCAAUUCGAGGUGCUCAAUCAUGGGGUUUACUUGUUUUAGUCAUAUGUACAGCCUGUUUUGGAAAGAUAAUUGGGACUGUAUUUGUCUGUCUGUUAUGCCGAAUUCCUGUUCAGGAAGCUAUAACUCUGGGGUUUUUGAUGAAUACUAAAGGCUUGGUGGAGCUCAUUGUCCUCAACAUAGGUAAAGAUCGAAAGGUCCUGAAUGAUCAAACAUUUGCUAUCUGUGUUCUAAUGGCUAUCUUCACAACCUUUAUCACAACUCCUAUAGUCUUAGCAGUAUAUAAGCCGGCUAAACAAAAGAUGAGUGCUGAUUACAAGCACAGAUCAAUUGAGAGAAAAGACCCAGACAAUCAGCUUCGAAUUUUGGCAUGUUUCCAUAGUACAAUGAACAUUCCUACAAUUAUCAAUCUCAUU